UUGUUUCGUAUGACAAGCAAUGCUUGCCACACUCAUCAGGUGAAUUUAAAAAAAUUAAAUUUAAAUUAAAUUAAUUUAAAUUAAAAUUAAAUUAAUUUAAAUUUAAUUUUAAAUUCACCUGAUGAGUGUGGCAAGCAUUGCUUGUCAUACGAAACUG
Non-coding RNA from Paramuricea clavata, 157 nucleotides. The record is from the annotation of a GenBank genome assembly. NCBI's taxonomy places the organism in Eukaryota, Metazoa, Cnidaria, Anthozoa, Malacalcyonacea, Plexauridae.